GCGGCUGUGGCGGAACUGGUAGACGCCCAGGCUUCAGGUGCCUGUGCUCCUUACGGGGCGUGGAGGUUCGAAUCCUCUCAGCCGCA
Molecule: transfer RNA, 86 nt
Filed under: Thermoleophilaceae bacterium
Lineage: Bacteria; Bacillati; Actinomycetota; Thermoleophilia; Thermoleophilales; Thermoleophilaceae
Description: tRNA-Leu
Rfam family: tRNA
About the family: Transfer RNA (tRNA) molecules are approximately 80 nucleotides in length.
Source: RNAcentral